RNAcentral lists this ribosomal RNA (2930 nucleotides) under Klebsiella aerogenes. RNAcentral's name for it is "bacterial LSU rRNA". It matches the Rfam family "Bacterial large subunit ribosomal RNA". The record is from RNAcentral. Lineage: Bacteria; Pseudomonadati; Pseudomonadota; Gammaproteobacteria; Enterobacterales; Enterobacteriaceae.
GGGUUGUGAGGUUAAGCGACUAAGCGUACACGGUGGAUGCCCUGGCAGUCAGAGGCGAUGAAGGACGUGCUAAUCUGCGAAAAGCGUCGGUAAGGUGAUAUGAACCGUUACAGCCGGCGAUGUCCGAAUGGGGAAACCCAGUGCAAUUCGUUGCACUAUCGUUAACUGAAUACAUAGGUUAACGAGGCGAACCGGGGGAACUGAAACAUCUAAGUACCCCGAGGAAAAGAAAUCAACCGAGAUUCCCCCAGUAGCGGCGAGCGAACGGGGAGCAGCCCAGAGUCUGAAUCAGCUUGUGUGUUAGUGGAACGGUCUGGAAAGUCCGACGGUACAGGGUGAUAGUCCCGUACACCAAAAUGCACAGGUUGUGAACUCGAAGAGUAGGGCGGGACACGUGGUAUCCUGUCUGAAUAUGGGGGGACCAUCCUCCAAGGCUAAAUACUCCUGACUGACCGAUAGUGAACCAGUACCGUGAGGGAAAGGCGAAAAGAACCCCGGCGAGGGGAGUGAAAAAGAACCUGAAACCGUGUACGUACAAGCAGUGGGAGCACCUUCGGGUGUGACUGCGUACCUUUUGUAUAAUGGGUCAGCGACUUAUAUUCUGUAGCAAGGUUAACCGUAUAGGGGAGCCGCAGGGAAACCGAGUCUUAACUGGGCGUUAAGUUGCAGGGUAUAGACCCGAAACCCGGUGAUCUAGCCAUGGGCAGGUUGAAGGUUGGGUAACACUAACUGGAGGACCGAACCGACUAAUGUUGAAAAAUUAGCGGAUGACUUGUGGCUGGGGGUGAAAGGCCAAUCAAACCGGGAGAUAGCUGGUUCUCCCCGAAAGCUAUUUAGGUAGCGCCUCGUGAAUUCAUCUUCGGGGGUAGAGCACUGUUUCGGCUAGGGGGUCAUCCCGACUUACCAACCCGAUGCAAACUACGAAUACCGAAGAAUGUUAUCACGGGAGACACACGGCGGGUGCUAACGUCCGUCGUGAAGAGGGAAACAACCCAGACCGCCAGCUAAGGUCCCAAAGUCACAGUUAAGUGGGAAACGAUGUGGGAAGGCACAGACAGCCAGGAUGUUGGCUUAGAAGCAGCCAUCAUUUAAAGAAAGCGUAAUAGCUCACUGGUCGAGUCGGCCUGCGCGGAAGAUGUAACGGGGCUAAACUGUGCACCGAAGCUGCGGCAGCGACACUAUGUGUUGUUGGGUAGGGGAGCGUUCUGUAAGCCUGCGAAGGUGGCCUGUGAGGGUUGCUGGAGGUAUCAGAAGUGCGAAUGCUGACAUAAGUAACGAUAAUGCGGGUGAAAAGCCCGCACGCCGGAAGACCAAGGGUUCCUGUCCAACGUUAAUCGGGGCAGGGUGAGUCGACCCCUAAGGCGAGGCCGAAAGGCGUAGUCGAUGGGAAACAGGUUAAUAUUCCUGUACUUGGUGUUACUGCGAAGGGGGGACGGAGAAGGCUAUGUUAGCCGGGCGACGGUUGUCCCGGUUUAAGCAUGUAGGCGGAGGUUCCAGGUAAAUCCGGUACCUUUUAACGCUGAGGUGUGAUGACGAGGCACUACGGUGCUGAAGUAACAAAUGCCCUGCUUCCAGGAAAAGCCUCUAAGCAUCAGGUAACAUUAAAUCGUACCCCAAACCGACACAGGUGGUCAGGUAGAGAAUACCAAGGCGCUUGAGAGAACUCGGGUGAAGGAACUAGGCAAAAUGGUGCCGUAACUUCGGGAGAAGGCACGCUGAUAUGUAGGUGAAGCCCCUGCGGGUGGAGCUGAAAUCAGUCGAAGAUACCAGCUGGCUGCAACUGUUUAUUAAAAACACAGCACUGUGCAAACACGAAAGUGGACGUAUACGGUGUGACGCCUGCCCGGUGCCGGAAGGUUAAUUGAUGGGGUUAUCCGUAAGGAGAAGCUCUUGAUCGAAGCCCCGGUAAACGGCGGCCGUAACUAUAACGGUCCUAAGGUAGCGAAAUUCCUUGUCGGGUAAGUUCCGACCUGCACGAAUGGCGUAAUGAUGGCCAGGCUGUCUCCACCCGAGACUCAGUGAAAUUGAACUCGCUGUGAAGAUGCAGUGUACCCGCGGCAAGACGGAAAGACCCCGUGAACCUUUACUAUAGCUUGACACUGAACAUUGAGCCUUGAUGUGUAGGAUAGGUGGGAGGCUUUGAAGCGUGGACGCCAGUCUGCGUGGAGCCAACCUUGAAAUACCACCCUUUAAUGUUUGAUGUUCUAACGUUGGCCCCUUAUCGGGGUUGCGGACAGUGUCUGGUGGGUAGUUUGACUGGGGCGGUCUCCUCCCAAAGAGUAACGGAGGAGCACGAAGGUUAGCUAAUCCUGGUCGGACAUCAGGAGGUUAGUGCAAUGGCAUAAGCUAGCUUGACUGCGAGCGUGACGGCGCGAGCAGGUGCGAAAGCAGGUCAUAGUGAUCCGGUGGUUCUGAAUGGAAGGGCCAUCGCUCAACGGAUAAAAGGUACUCCGGGGAUAACAGGCUGAUACCGCCCAAGAGUUCAUAUCGACGGCGGUGUUUGGCACCUCGAUGUCGGCUCAUCACAUCCUGGGGCUGAAGUAGGUCCCAAGGGUAUGGCUGUUCGCCAUUUAAAGUGGUACGCGAGCUGGGUUUAGAACGUCGUGAGACAGUUCGGUCCCUAUCUGCCGUGGGCGCUGGAGAAUUGAGGGGGGCUGCUCCUAGUACGAGAGGACCGGAGUGGACGCAUCACUGGUGUUCGGGUUGUCAUGCCAAUGGCAUUGCCCGGUAGCUAAAUGCGGAAGAGAUAAGUGCUGAAAGCAUCUAAGCACGAAACUUGCCCCGAGAUGAGUUCUCCCUGAGACUUUAAGUCUCCUGAAGGAACGUUAAAGACGAUGACGUUGAUAGGUCGGGUGUGUAAGCGUAGCGAUACGUUGAGCUAACCGAUACUAAUGAACCGUGAGGCUUAACCUUACAACGCCGAAGCUGUU